Molecule: ribosomal RNA, 500 nt
Filed under: uncultured Alphaproteobacteria bacterium
Lineage: Bacteria; Pseudomonadati; Pseudomonadota; Alphaproteobacteria
Description: bacterial SSU rRNA
Rfam family: Bacterial small subunit ribosomal RNA
Source: RNAcentral
AUGGGCGAAAGCCUGGCAGAGCAAUACCGCGUGAGGGAAAUAGAAAGCCCAUAGGGUUGUAAACCUCUUUUGUUAAGGAAGAAGUUCUGACGUUACUUAACGAAUAAGCAUCGGCUAACUCCGUGCCAGCAGCCGCGGUAAUACGGAGGAUGCAAGUGUUAUCCGGAAUCAUUGGGCGUAAAGCGUCUGUAGGUGGUUUACUAAGUCUAUUGUUAAAGCUUGAAGCUCAACUUCAAAAAUGUACUAGAAACUAGUAAACUUGAGAAUAGUAGGGGUAAAGGGAACUUCCAGUGGAGCGGUGAAAUGCGUAGAUAUUGGAAGGACCACCGAAGGCGAAGGCACUUUACUGGGCUAUUUCUGACACUAAGAGACGAAAGCUAGGGGAGCAAAUGGGAUUAGAUACCCCAGUAGUCCUAGCCGUAAACGAUGGAUACUAGAUGUUGUGUGUUUCGAUCCAUGCAGUGUCGAAGCUAACGCGUUAAGUAUCCCGCGUGGUUUAA